GACGAACGCUGGCGGCGUGCUUAACACAUGCAAGUCGUACGGUAAGGCCCUUUCGGGGGUACACGAGUGGCGAACGGGUGAGUAACACGUGAGUAACCUGCCCACAACUUUGGGAUAACGCUAGGAAACUGGUGCUAAUACUGGAUAUGUUCUCCUGCUGCAUGGUGGGGGUUGGAAAGCUCCGGCGGUUGUGGAUGGACUCGCGGCCUAUCAGCUUGUUGGUGGGGUAGUGGCCUACCAAGGCGGCGACGGGUAGCCGGCCUGAGAGGGUGACCGGCCACAUUGGGACUGAGAGACGGCCCAGACUCCUACGGGAGGCAGCAGGGGGGAAUAUUGCACAAUGGGCGCAAGCCUGAUGCAGCAACGCCGCGUGCGGGAUGACGGCCUUCGGGUUGUAAACCGCUUUCAGCAGGGACGAAGCUUUUUGUGACGGUACCUGCAGAAGAAGCACCGGCUAACUACGUG
This 465-nucleotide ribosomal RNA is filed under the name uncultured bacterium. RNAcentral describes it as "partial 16S ribosomal RNA". It matches the Rfam family "Bacterial small subunit ribosomal RNA", at positions 28 to 507 of the family's 1533-position model. The record is from RNAcentral.